This 468-nucleotide ribosomal RNA is filed under the name uncultured bacterium. RNAcentral's name for it is "partial 16S ribosomal RNA". It matches the Rfam family "Bacterial small subunit ribosomal RNA", at positions 28 to 507 of the family's 1533-position model. The record is from RNAcentral.
GACGAACGCUGGCGGCGUGCUUAACACAUGCAAGUCGAACGGAAAGACCCUGCUUUUGUGGGGUGCUCGAGUGGCGAACGGGUGAGUAACACGUGAGUAACCUGCCCUUGACUUUGGGAUAACUUCAGGAAACUGGGGCUAAUACCGGAUAGGAGCUCCUGCUGCAUGGUGGGGGUUGGAAAGUUUCGGCGGUUGGGGAUGGACUCGCGGCUUAUCAGCUUGUUGGUGGGGUAGUGGCUUACCAAGGCUUUGACGGGCAGCCGGCCUGAGAGGGUGACCGGCCACAUUGGGACUGAGAUACGGCCCAGACUCCUACGGGAGGCAGCAGUGGGGAAUAUUGCACAAUGGGCGGAAGUCUGAUGCAGCAACGCCGCGUGCGGGAUGACGGCCUUCGGGUUGUAAACCGCUUUCGCCUGUGACGAAGCGUGAGUGACGGUAAUGGGUAAAGAAGCACCGGCUAACUACGUG